GAUGAACGCUGACAGAAUGCUUAACACAUGCAAGUCUUUGGCGAAGCUGUGCUUGCACCGCCUAGCCAAGGCGGACGGGUGAGUAACGCGUAAGGAACUUGCCCUGCAGUCAGGGAUAACAGACGGAAACGACUGAUAAGACCUGGUAAAGUCAGGCGGACUCAUGUCCAGCCUGAUGAAAAGAGAUGCUGCAGGAGAGCCUUGCGUCCUAUUAGCUUGUUGGUGGGGUAACGGCCCACCAAGGCGAUGAUAGGUAGCCGGCCUGAGAGGGUGGACGGCCACAAGGGGACUGAGAUACGGCCCUUACUCCUACGGGAGGCAGCAGUGGGGAAUAUUGGACAAUGGGGGCAACCCUGAUCCAGCAAUUCUGUGUGCACGAUGAAGGUUUUCGGAUUGUAAAGUGCUUUCAGCAGGGAAGAAAAAAAUGACGGUACCUGCAGAAGAAGCGACGGCUAAAUACGU
Molecule: ribosomal RNA, 462 nt
Filed under: uncultured bacterium
Lineage: Bacteria
Description: partial 16S ribosomal RNA
Rfam family: Bacterial small subunit ribosomal RNA
Source: RNAcentral